RNAcentral lists this ribosomal RNA (406 nucleotides) under uncultured bacterium. RNAcentral describes it as "partial 16S ribosomal RNA". It matches the Rfam family "Bacterial small subunit ribosomal RNA", at positions 30 to 526 of the family's 1533-position model. The record is from RNAcentral.
AUUGAACGCUGGCGGCAGGCCUAACACAUGCAAGUCGAGCGAGUGGCGGACGGGUGAGUAAUGUAUGGGGAACUGCCCGAUGGAGGGGGAUAACUACUGGAAACGGUAGCUAAUACCGCAUACUAUCGGAUGUGCCCAUAUGGGAUUAGCUUGUAGGUGAGGUAACGGCUUACCUAGGCGACGAUCCCUAGCUGGUCUGAGAGGAUGACCAGCCACACUGGGACUGAGACACGGCCCAGACUCCUACGGGAGGCAGCAGUGGGGAAUAUUGCACAAUGGGCGCAAGCCUGAUGCAGCCAUGCCGCGUGUAUGAAGAAGGCCUUAGGGUUGUAAAGUACUUUCAGUGGGGAGGCGUUACCGACAGAAGAAGCACCGGCUAACUCCGUGCCAGCAGCCGCGGUAAUUC